This 453-nucleotide ribosomal RNA is filed under the name uncultured Bifidobacterium sp. Its description in RNAcentral is "bacterial SSU rRNA". It matches the Rfam family "Bacterial small subunit ribosomal RNA", at positions 335 to 798 of the family's 1533-position model. Lineage: Bacteria; Bacillati; Actinomycetota; Actinomycetes; Bifidobacteriales; Bifidobacteriaceae. The record is from RNAcentral.
GUCCCUACGGGGGGCUGCAGUGGGGAAUAUUGCACAAUGGGCGCAAGCCUGAUGCAGCGACGCCGCGUGCGGGAUGACGGCCUUCGGGUUGUAAACCGCUUUUGAUCGGGAGCAAGCCUUCGGGUGAGUGUACCUUUCGAAUAAGCACCGGCUAACUACGUGCCAGCAGCCGCGGUAAUACGUAGGGUGCAAGCGUUAUCCGGAAUUAUUGGGCGUAAAGGGCUCGUAGGCGGUUCGUCGCGUCCGGUGUGAAAGUCCAUCGCUUAACGGUGGAUCUGCGCCGGGUACGGGCGGGCUGGAGUGCGGUAGGGGAGACUGGAAUUCCCGGUGUAACGGUGGAAUGUGUAGAUAUCGGGAAGAACACCAAUGGCGAAGGCAGGUCUCUGGGCCGUUACUGACGCUGAGGAGCGAAAGCGUGGGGAGCGAACAGGAUUAGAUACCCGGGUAGUCCUG